AACGAACGCUGGCGGCAGGCCUAACACAUGCAAGUCGAACGCCCUAGCAAUAGGGAGUGGCGCACGGGUGCGUAACGCGUGGGAAUAUGCCCUUCACUGCGGAAUAACGUUUGGAAACGAACGCUAAUACCGCAUAAUGACUCCGGUCCAAAGAUUUAUCGGUGAAGGAUUAGCCCGCGUUAGAUUAGCUAGUUGGUGAGGUAAUGGCUCACCAAGGCGACGAUCUAUAGCUGGUCUGAGAGGAUGAUCAGCCACACUGGGACUGAGACACGGCCCAGACUCCUACGGGAGGCAGCAGUGAGGAAUAUUGGACAAUGGGCGCAAGCCUGAUCCAGCCAUGCCGCGUGAGUGAAGAAGGCCUUCGGGUUGUAAAGGCUCUUUCAGAUGUGAGGUAAUAGACGGUAGCAUCAGAAGAAGCCCCGGCUAAAUUCGUGCCAGCAGCCGCGGUAAU
This 451-nucleotide ribosomal RNA is filed under the name uncultured bacterium. RNAcentral's name for it is "bacterial SSU rRNA". It matches the Rfam family "Bacterial small subunit ribosomal RNA", at positions 29 to 524 of the family's 1533-position model. The record is from RNAcentral.